AUUGAACGCUGGCGGCAUGCUUUACACAUGCAAGUCGAACGGCAGCGCGGGCUUCGGCCUGGCGGCGAGUGGCGAACGGGUGAGUAAUGCAUCGGAACGUGCCCAGUAGUGGGGGAUAGCCCGGCGAAAGCCGGAUUAAUACCGCAUACGACCUGAGGGUGAAAGCGGGGGACCGAAAGGCCUCGCGCUAUUGGAGCGGCCGACGUCGGCUUAGCUCGUUGGUGGGGUAAAGGCUUACCAAGGCGGCGAUCCGUAGCUGGUCUGAGAGGACGACCCGCCACACUGGGACUGAGACACGGCCCAGACUCCUGCGGGAGGCAGCAGUGGGGAAUUUUGGACAAUGGGGGCAACCCUGAUCCAGCCAUGCCGCGUGCGGGAAGAAGGCCUUCGGGUUGUAAACCGCUUUUGUUCGGGAAGAAAUCCUCUGGGCUAAUACCCCGGGGGGAUGACGGUACCGGAAGAAUAAGCACCGGCUAACUACGUG
RNAcentral lists this ribosomal RNA (484 nucleotides) under uncultured bacterium. Its description in RNAcentral is "partial 16S ribosomal RNA". It matches the Rfam family "Bacterial small subunit ribosomal RNA", at positions 28 to 507 of the family's 1533-position model. The record is from RNAcentral.